CAGUCUACUUUUUAUUGAUGACAUUCCUAAUAUUAAAAUUUUAUUAAAUAUAAUAUAAGUAAAUGAAAACAUUUCAGUUAAUAUACUUUGUAUUAUGCAUGUUAAUUGAACAUAUCAGAAACAUUUUAUUUUAUCUUCUAAGUUUCAAAGUCAAGUUAAAUAAACCUAUAUUACUUACCUUACAUCUAAUUUCUGUGUAUGAAUAUUGAUAUAACUAUUACAAUCUUAGUGAAUUCAUAUCUUUUCUACAAAUACUCGAGAUAAAUCUAUCAGUCAAUCAUAUAGAUAUUAUUGAGAGUAGAGUUCAGAAUAAAAUAAUGGUCAUUCCAGACUUACAUUUUGCUCAAAUGAAGCAGCUAUAAUACCAUUUCCCAAUAUUUAUGAAAAUUACAGCAAAGUUUGUUUACAGUGUUAUAAAAUCAAAAUUUAAUCAAACCAAUACUUUCUUCAAGGUAAAACAUGUUGAGCUAUGAAUAAGAGGUCACACAUGCAUGCACACACACAGAAACAGACACACAGAAACACACAUAUGUACAUAUACAGAGAGACAUAUAAUGAUACUUAUUGAUUAAAUAUUAAGAAUGUAGAAGGCUGCAUAUGAAUGAGUUAAAGAAAGGAAAGGAGAGGAACAUUCAAGUUGAACAAGGUAUAGUUUAAAGUCAAGUGGGUGCAAACAAAUGAUGAGUGUGGUGAAUAAGAAUUAUCUGCAUGUCUGCAGUUCUAAUAGUUUGUAAAAAGAUCAAGCUUCCUAAGGGACACAGUUAAACAGUGCUUCAUGAGCACAAUUAUUAAAGUUUAUAUUCCUCCAGGCACAAAGGAAAGCACUGGGAGCGUUAUUCACCUACAGAACAGACCCAAGAGAGCCACAUAGAUGCAGAGAGCAACUAGAUAAUAGGCUUUAGCAGAAAUUCAGGUGGCUUGGAAAGCAAAAUUAUUUCACAGCCAUAAAGACCUUUCAGGAAAAUUACUGCCUUAUUAUGCUUCAUUCACAUGCUGGACUUGCUUUAGCUUUGCAUUCAUGAAGAUUUGAACCCAUUAAGUUCAAUGACAAAAUGACAACCUGUAAUAUCCCACCUCUCAGACUUUGUCUCUUUGUAAAUCCUUUCAAAAUUCUCAAUGUUUGUUUAUAAAACCAUCUAAAAAUUAAAAAUAGCUUGUGCUUUAUGUGUAGACAUGGGACAAAUAAAAAACAGAAUUAUCAGUG
Non-coding RNA from Rattus norvegicus (Norway rat), 1204 nucleotides. Lineage: Eukaryota; Metazoa; Chordata; Mammalia; Rodentia; Muridae. The record is from RefSeq and is a predicted model, not a curated record.